AUUGAACGCUGGCGGCAUGCUUUACACAUGCAAGUCGAACGGCAGCGCGGGCUUCGGCCUGGCGGCGAGUGGCGAACGGGUGAGUAAUACAUCGGAACGUGCCCAGUUGGGCGGGAUAGCUCGGCGAAAGCAGGAUUAAUACCGCAUACGACCUGAGGGUGAAAGCGGGGGGUCUUCGGACCUUGCGCUCUUGUGGCGGCCGAUGCCCGAUUAGCUAGUUGGUUGGUUAAAGGGCUACCAAGGCGACGAUCUGUGGCUGGUCUGAGUGGGAGACCAGCCACACUGGAACUGAGACACGGACCAUGCUCCUACGGGACGGAGCAGUGUGGAAUGUUGGACAACGGGGGAAAGUCUUACCCAGUGAGGGCGCGCGUGUUAUGAAGGCCCUGGGGUUGUAAAGCACUUUUGCGGGGAAUGAAAAGCAUUGUGCCAAUACCACGCUUGGAUGACGGUAAUCGCAGAAUAAGCACCGGCUAACUACGUG
Molecule: ribosomal RNA, 484 nt
Filed under: uncultured bacterium
Lineage: Bacteria
Description: partial 16S ribosomal RNA
Rfam family: Bacterial small subunit ribosomal RNA
Source: RNAcentral